Molecule: small nucleolar RNA, 119 nt
Filed under: Dichanthelium oligosanthes
Lineage: Eukaryota; Viridiplantae; Streptophyta; Magnoliopsida; Poales; Poaceae
Description: Small nucleolar RNA SNORD14
Rfam family: Small nucleolar RNA SNORD14
About the family: U14 small nucleolar RNA (U14 snoRNA) is required for early cleavages of eukaryotic precursor rRNAs.
Source: Rfam by way of RNAcentral
GCCCUAUGAUGAUAGUAUCAAGGUUUGCUUCUCUACAUUUACAGUUGCCGCCUAAGAGCUUUCUCCCUGCCAGGCUUGAGAGCUAUUGCUGCUAAAUCCUUCCUUGGAUGUCUGAUGCA